UGGAAUUCAGCUGCCGGCCAUUGAGCUAAGGAUGCCUGGUUCCGGCUCCCUAGCCUACUUGGAUGCCCUUGAUGGGUUUUGUCUUGAGGACCUGCGGCAGCCCCCAUAACCAGUGACCUGCUUUUUAAAGAAAACCGCCCCUCUGAUGGCGAAUGUCCUAAUCUGGCUUCUGUCGCUGUGAUGAGACACUGACAAAACCUCCUUGGGGAAGGAAGAAGUUUGUUUCAUCUUACUUUUCCAGCACCCCGAUGAGCAAGGGACCACGGAGCAAGAAGGGAACCUCCGUCUGGGUGCCGUGGGCUAAGUAAUGCACGAUGAAUGUGCCUCCAAAACCUCACCAGCUGCGUCAGCUGCAUCAGCUGGGUCAUCUGGGCAAGACUCUACAGAGCUGGGGGUUGGAGCUGUGGUGGAGGGGAGGACUACAAUCUCAGAAGCCAACAAGGAAAUGUUAACCAGCGCCAUCUUGUGAGGAUCUGUUGUGGCCCCUGGCCGCCACCUCCCUACUUUCUAUCUCUAUGAUUUUGAUGACUUUGGAUGAACUUCAAGGAAUUGGAAUCAUCUGGAUUCAUCUUUCCAUGAUUGGCAUGUUACUUGGCAUGAUGUCCUUAAUGUGUAUCCAUGUUGUAGCGUGAAUCAGGAUUUCAUUCUUUUUUAUGGUUGAAUAAUAUUCCCUUGUGUGCAA
Molecule: long non-coding RNA, 682 nt
Organism: Mesocricetus auratus (golden hamster)
Lineage: Eukaryota; Metazoa; Chordata; Mammalia; Rodentia; Cricetidae
Exons: 4
Source: RefSeq, a predicted model, not a curated record